RNAcentral lists this ribosomal RNA (789 nucleotides) under Halobacillus sp. RNAcentral describes it as "bacterial SSU rRNA". It matches the Rfam family "Bacterial small subunit ribosomal RNA", at positions 94 to 866 of the family's 1533-position model. Lineage: Bacteria; Bacillati; Bacillota; Bacilli; Caryophanales; Bacillaceae. The record is from RNAcentral.
AGCGGCGGACGGGUGAGUAACACGUGGGCAACCUGCCUGUAAGAUCGGAAUAACCCCGGGAAACCGGGGCUAAUGCCGGGUAAUACUUUCUUUCGCAUGAAGGAAAGUUGAAAGAUGGCUUCUUGCUAUCACUUACAGAUGGGCCCGCGGCGCAUUAGCUAGUUGGUGAGGUAACGGCUCACCAAGGCGACGAUGCGUAGCCGACCUGAGAGGGUGAUCGGCCACACUGGGACUGAGACACGGCCCAGACUCCUACGGGAGGCAGCAGUAGGGAAUCUUCCGCAAUGGACGAAAGUCUGACGGAGCAACGCCGCGUGAACGAUGAAGGUCUUCGGAUCGUAAAGUUCUGUUGUUAGGGAAGAACAAGUACCGUGCGAAUAGAGCGGUACCUUGACGGUACCUAACGAGGAAGCCCCGGCUAACUACGUGCCAGCAGCCGCGGUAAUACGUAGGGGGCAAGCGUUGUCCGGAAUUAUUGGGCGUAAAGCGCGCGCAGGCGGUUCCUUAAGUCUGAUGUGAAAGCCCACGGCUCAACCGUGGAGGGUCAUUGGAAACUGGGGAACUUGAGGACAGAAGAGGAGAGUGGAAUUCCACGUGUAGCGGUGAAAUGCGUAGAUAUGUGGAGGAACACCAGUGGCGAAGGCGACUCUCUGGUCUGUUUCUGACGCUGAGGUGCGAAAGCGUGGGUAGCAAACAGGAUUAGAUACCCUGGUAGUCCACGCCGUAAACGAUGAGUGCUAGGUGUUAGGGGGCUUCCACCCCUUAGUGCUGAAGUUAACGCAUUAAGCA